GAUGAACGCUGGCGGCGUGCCUAAUACAUGCAAGUAGAACGCUGAAGGAAGGAGCUUGCUCUUUCCGGAUGAGUUGCGAACGGGUGAGUAACGCGUAGGUAACCUGCCUGGUAGCGGGGGAUAACUAUUGGAAACGAUAGCUAAUACUGCAUAACAGUAGAUGUUGCAUGACAUCUACUUGAAAGGGGCAAUUGCUCCACUACCAGAUGGACCUGCGUUGUAUUAGCUAGUUGGUGAGGUAACGGCUCACCAAGGCGACGAUACAUAGCCGACCUGAGAGGGUGAUGGCCACACUGGGACUGAGACACGGCCCAGACUCCUACGGGAGGCAGCAGUAGGGAAUCUUCGGCAAUGGACGGAAGUCUGACCGAGCAACGCCGCGUGAGUGAAGAAGGUUUUCGGAUCGUAAAGCUCUGUUGUAAGAGAAGAACGAGUGUGAGAGUGGAAAGUUCACAC
Molecule: ribosomal RNA, 456 nt
Filed under: Streptococcus australis
Lineage: Bacteria; Bacillati; Bacillota; Bacilli; Lactobacillales; Streptococcaceae
Description: bacterial SSU rRNA
Rfam family: Bacterial small subunit ribosomal RNA
Source: RNAcentral